GAGAGUUAUGAGGCUUUGGCUGGAAGAGUCAAUGGAAACUGCUUCCUGCUGAAGAUACUCUGCCCUUGGGAGUCCCAUCUCCACUUCAGUUCUGAAGAACAAGCUCUCCAUUGACAGGACUGACUCCUCCAAUACAUCUGAAAAGAGGUGAUCCCAUUCAGGAAAAAGGCAAUUUACUCUUCCCAUCACCAAAUGAGAAGAAAAGACCAAAUUAUGUUUCUCAAAAGCUGCGUUCAGCCUGUGCCCUGGGUUGGCCAUCCAUGUGCUGGCUAUCCUUUGAAGAAGGACACAAGUGUCCAUCUGGAAAUUCAGAGACCAGAACUGUGCCCUCCCUGCUGCUGAAGCUGGACAAAAGUGCCAGAACAUGCUAGAGAAUCCUGGUGGAAAGAGUGACCAGAGAAGAAGGUUGAGUGGCACACAGUCAUGCUGGUGGAUAAUAAACCUGAUUUGAACAUUU
Molecule: long non-coding RNA, 457 nt
Organism: Passer montanus (Eurasian tree sparrow)
Lineage: Eukaryota; Metazoa; Chordata; Aves; Passeriformes; Passeridae
Exons: 3
Source: RefSeq, a predicted model, not a curated record